This is an RNA transcript of Pongo pygmaeus (Bornean orangutan), 14004 nucleotides long. It is a transcript of the gene named zinc finger protein 227-like, with no coding region annotated. The transcript has 4 exons. Lineage: Eukaryota; Metazoa; Chordata; Mammalia; Primates; Hominidae. The record is from RefSeq and is a predicted model, not a curated record.
AGACGCUAGCUGCGGGCGACAUUGUUCGGGAUGCUGGGGUGAGUCCAGCGUGGACCGCGCCACUCUCGGAAGCGUAGCCAGGAGUAGGGCUGCAGGAUGUGCAGCUGUGACCUGUCCCUGUGGACUGAAGUAGGAGGAGUGGAAUAGGGGACUGGUGACCAAUGAUAAGGCCUCGUGGGUGGGUUCUGCUUUUCCAGAAUCCUGCCCUUUCCAAAAGGAAGAUGGUAUGAUUAAGUUCCAGGAAAGGGUGACAUUCAAGGACAUGGCUGUUGUCUUCACCAAGGAAGAGCUUGCUCUAUUGGAUAAAACCCAGAUAAACCUGUACCAAGGUGCGAUGCUGGAAAACUUCAGGAACCUCAUCUCAGUGGGUCUUGCCGUUUCGCCCAGGCUGGAAUACAGUGGCACAAUCUUGGAUCACUGCAGCCUCUGCAUCACAGGAUUAAGCAAUCUUCCAACCUCAGAUUUCCAAGUAGCUGGGAUCAUAGGCAAAACCGAGACAAUUUUUAAUUUUUUUGUAGAGAUGCGAUCUCACCGUACUGCCCAGCCUGGUCUUAAUCUCCUGAACUUGAGUGACCCUCCCACCUCAGCCUCUGAAAGUGUUGCUAUGACAAGCAUAAGCCACUGCACCUGGCCAAGAUUUCUCUUAAUUUCCCUACAAUACUUGAUUUCUAAUUGGCAGCUCACAGGUUAGAAUUAUUGUUGCUCUAACUGUUUCACAUGUCAAUGGAAGCCAGGGACAACUUCCCACCCCAUCAUAUUUCAUUUUCUCAAAACCUCUGGAUAGGUGAUUCACAAAUUCUCUUUCUUCUCAUGGGACACGGGAUUAAAAAAACAUUUUGAAUCUUCAGGAAAAGGGGUUAAAUUACCUUUCUCAAGAAGUGCUUCAUUGCUGGCAGAUUUGGAAACAAAGGAUCCGGGAUUUAAGUGUGAGUCAGGAUUAUAUCAUGAACCUUCAAGAACAGUGUUCCCCUCAUUUAGAAGAUGUUUACCUCUGUGAAGAGUGGGCAGGCAUGUCUCUUCAGAUUUCUGAAAACAAAAACUAUGUAGUAAAUGCCAUUAUCAAAAAUCGAGAUAUCACAGCAUGUCAAAGCCUCACACAGGUUCUUACCCCAGAAUCUUGGAAGAAAGCCAACAUAAUGACCGAGCCCCAGAAAUCUCAGGGAAGAUAUAAGGGAAUUUACGUGGAAAAGAAAUUGUACAGACGUGCUUGGCAUGAUGACAGCCUCAAUUGGACCUCACGUGAUCAUCAUGAGUCCCAAGAAUGUAAAGGAGAGGACCCUGGUAGACACCCCAACUGUGGGAAAAACUUGAUUAUGAAAUCAACAGUUGAACAACAUGAUGCGGCCCAUGCUUUGCCACAGCCUUUCACAUGUAAUAACUGUGGGGUGGCCUUUGCAAAUGAUACAGAUCCUCGUGUCCAUCACAGCACUCACCUAGGAGAAAAAUCUUAUAAAUGUGACCAGUAUGGAAAGAACUUAAGUCAGAGCCAAUAUCUUAUCAUUCAUUGUAAAACCCACUCAGAAGAGACUCCCUAUGAAUUCCACGAAUGGCCUACAGGCUGCUAACAGAGCUCAGACUUUCCCAGAUGUCAGAAAGUCCCCUCAGGAGACAAUCCCUAGAAAUGUAAAAAAUGUGGCAAGGGCUUCAGGUGCAACUCCUCCCUUCACAACCAUCAUCGAGUCCACAAAGGGGAGAUGCCCUACAAAUGCGACUUAUGUGGGAAAGCGUUUGGAUUUACGUCACUUCUUUUUAUUCAUCAGGGAGUACACACAGGGAAAAAGCCCAACAAAUGGUGAAGAGUGUGGGAAGGGCUUUGAACAGUACUCCAACCUUCUUAUCCAUCAGAGAGUCCACACUGGAGAGAAGCGCUACAUAUCCAGUGAGUGUGGCAAGUGUUUUAGUUCAAGCUCCCUUCUUCAAGUCCACUGGAGGUUUCACACAGGGGAGAAACCUUAUAGGUGUGAUGAGUGUGGAAAGGGCUUCAGCCAAAGUACACAGCUUCACAUUCACCAGAGAGUCCACACAGGGGAGAAACCAUACAAAUGCAAUGUUUGUGGAAAGGAUUUUGCUUAUAGCUCUGUUCUUCACACUCAUCAGAGAGUUCACACUGGAGAAAAACCAUAUAAAUGUGAAGUGUGUGGCAAGUGCUUUAGUUACAGUUCAUAUUUUCACUUCCAUCAGAGUGAUCACACCAGAGAGAAAUUAUAUAAAUGUGAUGAGUGUGUAAAGGCUUCAGCCGGAAUUCAGAUCUUUAUGUUCAUCUCUGAGUCCACACAGGACAGAGACCCUAUAAGUGUAAGGCAUGUGGUAAGGGCUUCAGUCGUAAUUCACACCUCCUUGCCCAACAGAGAGUGCAUAUAUAUGAGAUACAGCACACACAUUGUGAGCAUGGCAAAGACCUUCUGACUCAUCAAAGACUACAUGAGCAGAGAGAAACAUUAUAAACGUAGUAAGUCAGGGUUAAAUUAGGAAAACAGAAGCCACACUGUAUUCCAGAUAAUAGAAGCUUACUCAGCCUGUGGGAGGGCUGGGGGAGCAAAAGACAGGGACACUGCCAUCGACAAUGUCAGCCCGCAGCACUGGGGUGUGCCAGGCAAGUAUUGUGGAUUUCAAGAACUUCUGUAUGCUACAAUGGCAAAGUAGGUUACUCUUGACAAAUGGGUGGUUUGUGGUAGUGUUUGUAGUUAGAGGUAAAAUUUCCAUUAAAGGGUGUAUCCAGGAAAAAAAUUCUAAUUGGGAUGAUUAUGGUAAGGUCUUCAGUUUAGCCAAAGUCCCUAGAUUUUUUUUAGUCCCCAACGGAAAAAUACUCUCUGUAUGAAGAAUAUUCAAAAGUGUGCUCGGAAAUGAAACCAAUGCUCUUACUAUGAAAGAAUAUUAGUACUCAGGUUUUCUAUGAGAUUCUCUGCACAGGCAAGAAGCUCUGCAGAAGUGACAUUUGAAGGAUGCGGCAAAGGCAGUGCUGUAUUAAUCACACUGGUUCCAUUUCCUUGCAAAUAAGAAGAUUCUAUUCCUCAGUAACUCUUGCAGUUAAGAGUGUGCCCAUGUUUGAGUUCUAGCCAAUGGAGUGUGAGCAAAAGUGAUACAAGCCACUUUCAGGUCUAGCCUUUAUAAACAUCCUCAGGCUUCUCUAUCCCUGCCAAGGUGACCUUGGAAGCUGCUUAUUCCAGACUGGGUCGAUAGAAGGUCGCUAUCUGAUCUGUGUUGGCUUUCUUUUUAGAGUAAGAAAUAAAAAUUCAUUGUGUCUCACCACUGAGAUUUUUAGUGAUUUAUUUGUUACUGCAGCAUUGCCUAGGCCAUCCUGACUAGCAUGGAGGGAUUUUAUAGCAAUAUGUUUCAUUGUCAUUGGAGUCCACAUACAGAAGCAACAUUGUAAUUCAGAGUUCAAAGCUUUUAAGUCUUUAAGGCUUGAUGUGGCAGUACAACCAUCUAAAAUGGUAUGGAUGGGACUUCUCCAGUGAUAACCUUCAUUCUUUGGUGUGUACACCAAAAAGAAAUGUUCAAGAUGAUAUAGCUGUGGUAAAACUUUACUGAAAAGUACAACCCACAGACGUAAGAAAUCUCAUACAAUAGAGAAACUCUGUAGGGUGGGAGCUGAAUAAAUUUGUCAGCUCACACAUUAAGUGCGAUUAAAAAUUAACUAGAAUAGGUGUUCUGUGGUUAGUCUUAAUAAAAUUAAUUGAAUAAAGCUAACAUUUACUAAAGUGAGCAAUAACAUGUAAAAAACCAACAGUGUUCAUUUCAGACUGAUGCAGUCUUCUUCUCAGCAGACUUGUAUAAUAAUGGGUUUUUAAAGGGUGCUCUUUCUGUCAGUUUCCUCCCAAAAUUGUCAUUUAAUUGGGGAUAACAGAUGAAUUCGAGAGGCGAUCUCUUUGCUCUUUUUUUUUUUUUUUUGGAAACAGGGUAUUGCUCUGUCACCCAGGUGGCUGGAGUGCAGUGGCCUGAUCAUGGCUCACUGCUGAAGCCUUGAACUCCUGGGCUCAAGUGAUCCUCCUGCCUCAGCCUCCUGAGUAGCUGGGAGUACAGGCAUAUACCACCAUGUUCAGCUAAUGUUUUCUUUAAAAAAUUUACUUGUAGAGAUGGGGUCUUGCUUUAUUUCCCAGGUUAGUCUCAUUCUUGUUUCAAGUGAUCUUCCUACCUCAGCUUCCCAAAGUGCAGGGAUUACAAGUGUGGGCUACUGCACUCAGCCCACAAUGUCUUUUAUUUUUUCUUCAAAAACAAUAUCCUUUUUUGUUUUAAUUGACUUAUAGGUUUCUUCAUUUGGAUCAUGGUUUAUUCCUAGUUUUUCCUUCAUUACAUUUUCCUGCCAGUUAUAGUUUGUAAAUAGAAUAGCCAGUCAAGUGCAAAUAAAACCAACCCUGAAGUGUCAUUUUCUUACUGAUCAGGUGGAUAAGAGUGAAGUAUUUUAAAAAUUCUAUGUCAGUAGAAAUGAGGAAAUGAGUGUUCUUACAUAAGUUGGUGGGGAAAAAAACAGGUACAAAGUUGCUGGAGAGGAUCUUGUCUAUAUAUAUCAGAUGUACAAUUUGCAUUGUCUUUGAGCCAAUGAUCCUCCUCAGAAUGUAUUUUUAGGAUGUAAUUACAUGAGUGGAAAAAUAUGGUUUCAGAAAGAAAUAUAUUCUAAGAAUUUUGCAAUGAGAAGACCGUAAACAACCUGAAGCUUCAUGUGUAAGAAUUAAGUAAAUUAAGGCAUCCCAUAUAAUGGAAUAACAUGGCUCCAUCAACAAUGAUCUAGAUCUAUAAACAUGUCCACAUAUUAUUGUCCAUGUCCACUACAUACUCCAGUCUUCCUACGCAGACAGUAGGUUAGAGAAAAAAUCUGGGACACACAUUAUCCCAGGAAGCUUUUGGGGUUUACAAUGGGUGCUACAUUCCCUCAUGACAGACUCAGCCCUCAGCCUUGGUGGAGGUGUCCCAGGCAAUCCUCCAGUUUGGUCAGGAGCAGCCCUUGCAUAUCACAUUAAGGUUUUUAAAUAUAUGAUGCUAACAGGAUUGUCUCCCUACUUCAUAACAUUGUUUGCUUUUCCUCUUGUAACAAAGUAGCAUGGAAAAAGCAGAAAUUAGUCUAGCACCCAAUCAGUGGGAGCCAAUCUCAUUUACAAAUGUAGAUGCAGAGAUCCUAAAUAAAUAUGAGCAUGUCAAAUCCAAUGAUUUGAUAAAAGCAUAACAGACUCUGCUCAUGUAUAAUUUAUCCUAAAUAUGCUUAUCAGCUUCCGCCUCAUAACACACACAAGAACUGAGUAGCUCUAAAUACAAAUUUAUUUAGCUCAUGAUGUGUGAGCUGGCAAGUUCAGUUGGCCUUAGCUGGGCAGUUCUGGUGUGGGACAUGCUAGAUUAUCUUAACUGGGCUUUGUGCAUGUGUCUGCAUUCAGCUGAUGGCUCAUCUGGGCCUGGCUGUUUUAUGAUGGUCAUAGAUGAGACAAUGAAGUUCUCUCUGUCAUCAUGGUCUCUCAUCCUCCAGAAGACCAAUCUAGGGUUGGUCCCAUAGUGUCAGGGUUUCAAGAGCAAAAACUGUGAUCUCUUAAGGCCUCAUCAGAGAACAGGCUCAAUGAUACUUCCACCGCAUUCUAAAGAUUAAAGCAAGUCACAACACUGGCCUAGAUUCAUGCGGUGGGAUUAAGACAAGAUAAAAAAUGUUGAGACAUAAUCAUUGGAAGGAAAACGAAGGUACUAUUUUUAUGUUAGAGAAUAAUGUUAUUUACUUACAAAAUUCAAAUUCGCCUGUAAACUGUGACCAGUUUAAGUCUGUUUUAAAAUUAUCAGGUCAAAACAUUGGUUUCACACAAAAUUGGCACAUGAAAAUUCAUAGCAUCACUAUGUAAGUGUCUUUUAUAAAAUGUAGCCAAAAUGUUUCCUUCACAAUAACAAUUGUGUGCAAAGACCAGAAUUGUCCAAAGGUAAUUCUGGGAGUUCCCUUUGGGAUGCCUAGGUGAGGAACUAUCUGGAGCCUCAGACUCCCACAUUCUUCAGUGGGAAGGGCUUUACAUGAGCUCAACUUCCCAGCGGCUUUCUCUUUCUGAUGGGAGGUGUUAGGACCUGGCUUUCUCAUGCAAGUUCUGUGAAGCUCUGACAACUAAAGCCAGAUUGUCUGUUUUAGUCAAUAUGUCAGAUCAGUUAGUCAUUUGAUCUGACAACUAAAGCCAGAUUGUCUGCUUUAAUUAAGUAGUCCAGAUUACCUUCAUAGUCAAUUAGUUCCCCCACCAACAUGGAUGCCUUCACAAUUGCUCUUUAAGAAGGAUAAAAGCAUAGGGGUAAGGUGUGGUCUAUCUCCUGCUUCACCCAGGCCCUGGUGCUUCUUCAAGUGGUGAGAGAAAUUGUGGUCCUGUGCGUUCUCUUCCAGACCCUUAGCUUGUGUGUUUUCCCUAUAAAACUUCGUCCUAAUCCCAGCACUUUGGGAGGCCGAGGUGGGUGAAUCACGAGAUCAGGAGGAUGAGACCAGCCUGGCCAACAUAGUGAAACUCCGUCUCUACUAAAAAUACAAAAAAUUAGCUGGGCAUAGUGGCAGGCACCUGUAAUCCCAGAUACUCAGGAGGCUGAGGCUUGAACUCAGGAGGUGGAGGUUGCAAUGAGCUGAGAUCGCACCACUGCACUCCAGCCCAGGCGACAGUGAGAGACUCUGUCUCAAAAAAAAAAGAAGUCCCUUAUGUGUGAUGAUAAAAUUUGAUGAAGAGCAACAUUUGUGGACUUACACUACCAGAGAUCAGCAUUUAUUAUAAAUUUUCUAUAAUUAAUACAGUGUAGUUUUAGCUCAGGAGAGAAAAAAUAGAUCAAUGGAAAAGAAUAGGGAGUCCAAAAAGAGAUCCACAUGUAUAGAGUGAGUCAGUUUAUAAGCCUUGAAAUAUGUUGGAGAAAUAAUAGUCAUUUUAAUAACUGAUGCUGGGUUCACUGGCUAUUUAACACUAGUUCUUCAUAAAAUUGCAGGUAAUAAAUAAAAAUAACAUGCAGCUGGAAGACUGGGAUCAGUGGCUGUGCCUCCACUAGACUGCCCAUAGAAGCACAUAGUAACAGCUACCAAAGGUGUCUGAUCUGUCUUGUCAUUUUUUUAACUCAUUUUGUUCAGGUGUAAUUUACAUAAAGUGCAGAUUUUAACGACAUUUGUUUUAAAAAUGUACAUAUCCUUGUGAAUAAUGCCCAUUCAACAGUUUAAACAUUUUCUUUACCCCAAAAAUUUCCCUUGUGCCCUUUUCCCUUCGUUUCUUUCCAAAAAAGGAUAUAAUCACUGUUUUGGUUUCUAUCACCAUAUGUUGGUUUUGCCUAUUCUUGAACUCUAUAUAAAUUAAGUCAUACUGUAAUAUACUUUUGUAUUUGGCUUUUUUUCAUUCAACAUGGUUUUCUAAAUUAGUAAUUUAUAAUAAAGCAUAUUGCAUAUUUUAUUAUUGUUUAUGAAUUGUGUUCUAAAAACAUUCUAUGUUAGUAAAAUUUAUAGUAAACUUGUAUAAUGUACAUACUUUUCUUUCUGGAGAGCCAUUUAUUAAACAUUUAUUAGCAUACCACUAACAGAGGAGAUGUAACCCCAGAAUUGGCCUUUUUCUUCUGAAGUCAACUGGCUUUGAAUUAGAAUGUAGCAUUAGUUAUUAUUCCUCAUUCUCCACUCAUUCUCUGUAUCUACUUCCCUUAUUUUUUUCUUUUAUUUUUCUGCAGACACUAUGGUUACUUAAGUGUCUACUUCUCUUUUUCUGCAUGUCUUUGAGUGGAGACACUGGUCACCUUUGUUCCCCACUGUCUUUUCAAAGAUGCAUUUUAGGGAACAAAAAUAUAGCGUCUCCCUCUAGAGCAGUAGAUUUGUUUAUUGCCCACUCUAGUGAAGACAGUGUCUCCCUCUAGGGUGAAGGGCAGUGGUUUUGUUCCCAUGGGCUAUCAUAAAAGAUUCAGGUUUCCUAAGCUUAGGGUUCUAUUCCUACAACGCAGCCCGCUAGGCCUGCAGCACCUGGCCUUCCAUGUCACUCUAUGGGAUUAGAAUGCCAAAAAUCAUUGCAAAGAAUGACACUCUGGCUACUGCUGUGGUUGUGACUAAUAAAGUCCUUUGUCUCAGAGCCAGGAGUCUCUUGUCUUGUGCCAGCAUCUGUGAGACUGUCAGGCUAACUUUUGAGCUCAUAAAUUGGUUACUUUCAGAUCCUUGGUUUUUGAUGGAAAUAAAUGUCUCUUAAUCUUAGAUGCAAACUAGAGCUACCUGGAAUGCUUUCAGCUUUUUACAAUUUUUUACUGGUGAAAUAUACAUAACAUGAAAUUUACCAUCUUCACCAUUUUUAAGUGUGUAGCUUAGUAGUGUUGAGUACAUUUACAUUGUUGUAAGACCAGUCUCCAAAACUCAUUUUAUCUUGCAAAACUAAAACUCUAUCCCAUUCAAGAGCAACCCUCAAUUUUCCCCUGCUCCCAGCCACUGGCAACCACUAUACUUUGUGUCUCUAUGCAUUUGACUUCUCUGAGUCACAUAAAUGGAAUCAUACAGUAUUUGACUUUUUUUUUUUUUGAAAUGGAGUCUCGCUCUGUCGCCCAGGCUAGAGUGCAGUGGUUCCAUCUUGGCUCACUACAAGCUCCGCCUCCAGGGUUCACGCACGCCAUCUUCCUGCUUCAGCCUCCUGAGUAUCUGGGACUACAGGCACAUUCCACCACGCCCGGCUAAUUUUUUGUAUUUCUAGUAGAGAUGGGGUUUCCCCAUGUUAGUCAGGAUGGUCUCGAUCUCCUGACCUUGUGAUCCACCCACCUCGGCCCCCAAAAGUGCUGGGAUUUUACAGGCGUGAGACACCACACCCGGCCCAGUAUUUGCCUUUUUGUUACUGGCUUAUUUAACUUACCAUAAUGUCCUUAAGGUUAAUUUGUGUUGUAGAAUAUGUCAGAAUUUUCUUCCUUUGUACACUUGGGUUUCUUCCACUUUUUGGGUACUGUGAAUAAUGCUGUUAUGAACAUAGGAGUACAAAUAUCUCUUCAGGACCUUGCUUUCAAUUCUUUUGAACACAUACCUCAAAGUGGAAUUACUGGAUCAUAUGAUAAUUGUAUUUUCAAUUUUUUCAGGAUCUGCCAUUCUGUUUUCGAUAGAAGCUGCCACCAUUUAACAUAAGGAUUUUAACUUCAUUUAUAUUAUUAUGCUUGUCAUCUUCUUUUUAUGUUCAGAGUAAUCAGGAAAUUACCAGUUUGCCCAUUCUCACGUUGGUGAACAUCUGUUUCCAGGUUUUGGAAAUUUUGAAUUAAGCUACUAAGAAUAUACUUGUAUUCGCGUUUUUGCAGACAUAUGCUUUGAUUUCUCUUGGAUAAAUACCUAAGAGUUGAAUUGCUGUCACAGGCUAAGUGUAGGUUAUUUUUAUGAAGAAUUGCCUGUCCUUGUCAAUUAACAUAAAGAAUGAGGUACUUUACUGUUCACUUAAAUUCUUUAUGUGGUUGGGCUGUGUGGGGCGGCACAUACCUGUAACAUACCUGUAGUCCCAACUACUGGGGAGGCAGAAGGAUGACUUGAGGGCAGGAGUUUGAGGCUAUUGGGUGCUACAAUCAUGCCUGUGAAUAGCCACUGCACUCUAGCCUGGGCAACUUAGUUAAAAAAUUAUGUGGUUAAAAUUUCAAUAUGUUUGUAAAAUUUUUGUAUAAUGAUUUUGUAAAAGAAAACUUUCCCAUACUCCCAGACACUAAUUAUUUUCAAAACAUGAAGAAUAUGUUUUAAACGGUGUCAGGCACAAGUCUAAUUUUAAUUUUUUCCAUUUGGAUAGUCAAGGCUUUCAACAUUUAUUGACGAGUCCCUUUUUUAUUUACUGAUCUUAAAGGUCACAUUUAUACUACACUAGGUAUAUCCAUUCCCAGAGUCUCCUAUCUUCCAUGUUUAUUACUGAAAUCUCUGACCUUUUUUUUCUUUUUUUUGAGAUAGAGUCUUGCUCUGUCACCAGGCUGGAAUGCAGUGGCACGAUCUUGGCUCACUGCAACUUCCGCUUCCUGGGUUCAAGUGAUUCUCCUUCCUCAGCUUCCUGAGUAGCUGGCAUUACAGGCGCCCACCAUCAUGCCCAGCUAAUUUUUGUAUUUUUAGUAGAGAGGAGGUUUCAUCAUGUUGGCCAAGAUGUUCUCCUGACCUCAUGAUCCACCCACCUCGGCAUUCCAAAGUGUUGGUAUUACAGGCAUGAGCCACCAUAACCAGCCCAUUUUUGUUUAUUCUCAAACCACUAUCUCACAUCUUUAAGAAUUAUACUUUUGGUACAAGGCAAGUAAGAGUGAAUAUGCUAAGUGUCUGUUUAACUUUACCAUUUCUAAAAAUGACUAUACCACUUUAUACUUCCAUUAGCAAUCAAUGCAAGAUCACUUGUUCUAUAUGCUAACCAACACUUGGGAUUUUUAGCCAUUGGGAUUAUUUGUAGUGUUAUCUCACUGUUGUAUAAUUAGCAUUUCUCUGAUAAGUAAUGAUGUGGUUAUCAGUCAUUUUAUCAUGUGCUGAUUGGUCAUUUUAUAUCUUCUUUGGAAAAGAACUUUUGAAAGUUUUGCUGCUUUUUGUUGGUUUGUUUCCUUAUUGUUGGGUUGUAAGAUUUCUUAAUAUAGCCUAGAUACCAAUUCUUUCUCAGAUAUAUACAUUAUGAAUAUUUUUCCUAGUCUUGGGUUGCCUCUUCAUUUUGUUAAUGAUGUCUUUAAGAGAGGAAGUCAAUUUGAUGAAGUUCUGGUUUAUCUUUUUAAAUUAGAUUUUGUGCUUUAUUUUGCCUACCUAUGAAAUCUUUUUUUGCCUAUCGCAAGGUUUUGAAAAUUUUCUCUUAUAUUUUCUUGUAUAAUAUUUGUAGUUUUAGCUUUUCAUUUAGGUCUGUUACCUAUUUUGAGUUCUUUUUGUGUAUGAUGUGAGGUAAGUGUUGAGGUUCAUAAUUUUCGAAUAGAUAUCCAGGUGUUCUGUGCUAUUGUUUGAAACAACUGUCCUCCAUCGUAUUAUUUUUGUGGCUGCACCGAAAAUAAACUGAUCAUAUGUACUUGGCUCUAUUUUCUGGAAUCACUUCUGUUCCACUGAUUUAUGUAAAUAUUAUUAAGCUAUUGCUAUGUUUUGACUACUGGAGCUUUAGAAUAAGUUUUGAAAUCUGAUACUGUUAUUCCUCUAAUGAUGUUCUUCCUUUUCAAAACAAUUUUGACUAUUCUAGUUUUUUUAGUUGGCUGUUUUUGGCAUUUCUAUGUAAAUCUUAAUAUUAGUUUCUGCAAAAACCUGCUGUAAAUUUGAUUGAUAUUGUGUUGACUUUAUAGAUCAGUUUUGAAUUCUGGUUCUGGGUAAGAUGGAGUAAGCCAGUGGCUGGGAAAUUCUGGCCUAAUGGCUAAAUAUGGUGUACUGACUGUUUUUAUAUACCCCCAUGAAGUAAUAAUGGCUUUUGCAUUUUUUAUUGAGACAGAGUCUCACUCCAUCACCCAGGCUGGAGUGUAGUGGCAUGAUCUUGGCUCACUGCAGCAUCAACCUCCUGGGAUCAAAAAAUCCUCUUAUCUUAACUUCCUGAGUAGCUGGGACUAUAAGCAUGCACCACCAUGUCCAGCUAAUUUUUUGCAUUUUUGUAGCGAUGGGGUUUUACCAUGUUGCUUAGGCUGGUCUCAAACUCCUGAGCUCAAGCAUUCUGCCCUCCUCAGCCUGCCAAAGUGCUGGGAUUCCAGGUGUGAGCUACCACACCCAGCCUACAUUUUUAAAUAGUCAAAAAAAUCAAAAGAAGAAUAUUUUAUGACAUAUGAUAAGUAUAUAAAAUUCAAAUUUCAGCAUUCAUAAAUUUUGGUUGAAACAGUCAUGCUUAUUUGUUUGCAUAUUGUCUGUGGCUAUUUUCAUGUUAUAUUGGUACAGUUGUGUACUUAUGAUAUAGACAAUAUAUAAUGCUCUCAUCACUUCAUACUGCUACUCAGUGUAGCAUAAAUCACAGUAACACAGUUAUUACAAAUUAUCAGAUUUUUGAGUGCCAUAUGUAUCACUCUACUAUGAUAUUUUAUUUAUUUUGCAUAUCCAUCAUGUCAAAACAAGAAGAGAAAAUCAAAUUUUGAAUGUUAUGCUUUUAAGGUAUAGUAAAGUGUAGAUUAUUUUGUUAUAGAAUCAGAUGGCUGACUUUUGUGUUUGUUAUGCAAUGACAGCUGCACAAGAAGAAAAAUUUUAUAACAUUAAUACUGCCAGAUUAAAACCUUAUCCCAAUAUUUCCAAAUCACAGAUAAUUAUGACCAUAAAUAAAAAAUUUAAAAUGGAAUAUCUUAUGAAAGCAGAAUUACUUUUAUAAAAUAACAAAUGAAAAUGAGGCUAUAACCAAAGUAAAUUUUAGAGUGGCUAAUCUGUUAAGCAAGAAAAGUUAUUUACUGAUGAUGAGUUAGUUGAAUCAUAUUUUGCAGCAGCUGAAUAAAUGUAUCAUAUAAAUUUGUCUAAGACUAUAAGCCUUUUGACAAGGAUAAUUUCUGAAAAAGUUGAGAACAUUGGGAGCAGCACUGAUAGUCACUUUAAAAAGAAGAUCAUAAAAAAUUCCCAAUUAUUGUUGCCAGUGGUGAAAAUUUAUCAGCCAUAAGUGAACACAAAACAAAACAAAAAUGAAAGACAAAAUUAGAAGAAAAUUAAAAUGAGAAAAACAGAGGAUCAACACAUUUCUAUUGCCACUUUGUAUUUACCUCUGGGAGCCAAGAGAAUGCAACUGGGCUUAAGACCAUCACUGAGGUGUACUUUUCUGGUGACAAACAUCACCUGGAUUUGUUACAUCAAUCUAUUUGGCAUCUCUGUGGGACCCCCAAAACUGUUAACAAAAUAAUUUUCAAAAAAUAAAAUCAUAACUCUUACACAGGUAUGAAAAGACCACCUAGGGAGUGAUAGACUAUUUGCAAAUCAUAUAUGUGUAAAAGUCUUGUAUAGAGAACAUAUAAAGAACUCUCAAAACUCAAUAAGAAAACAAUUCAAUUUUUUAAGCUAAAAGAUUUAAACAAACACUUCACUGAAAAAGAUAUACGUAUGACAAAGGGGCACAUGCAAAGAUCAUCAACAUCAUUAGUCAUUAGGGAAAUAUAAAUCAAGACCACAAUGAAAUAUCACUACACAUCUAUUAGAACAGCUAAAAUUAAAAAUAGCAACAAUGUCAAACUCUGGCAAGGAUGUAAAGAGACUGGAAGUCUCAUAAGUUUCUGUUGGGAAUGCAAAGUAGUAGAGUCACUCCAGAAAACAGUUUAGAGUUCCUUAAAAAAUUAAACAUAUCCUUACCAUACCACCCCAUAACUUCAAUCCUGGACAUGUACUCCAGAGAAAUGAAAGUUUACAUACACAAACAAAUGUACACAAACCUGUACAUGAAUGUUCAUAGUAGCUUUAUUCAUAAUGGCAAAAAACUGGAAACAACCAAAAUGUUCCCUAAUAGGUAAAUGUUAAACAAAUCGUGGUACAUCCGUACCGUGGAAUACUACUCAGCAAUAAAAAUGAAUGGACUACUGAUACACACGCAACUUAGAGGGAUCUUAAGAUAAUUAUGCUAAGUGAAAAAUGUGAAUCUAUUUUAUGGUUCUAGUUGUAUAACACUCUUGAAAUGACCAAAUUAUAGAGAUAGAAAGCAGAUUAGUUGUUUCUAGAUAUCAGGAAUGGUGGAAGGGUGGAGACUGGGUGUGACUAUCAAGAUGUAGCAAGAAGGAGGGCUUUGCAGUGAUGAAAUAGUUAUUUAUCUUGAUUGUGGUAGUAGCUAUAUCAGUCUACAAGUGAUAACAUACAACUACACAUAUUCAUGGUAUCAAUAUAAUUCCCUGGUUUUGAUGUUGUAUUUUAAUUAAGGACAGUAUAAUCAUUGGGUGAAACUGGGUGAAGGGUACGUGGGACCUCUUUCUACUAUCUUUUCAAUUUCAUAUGAAUCUGUGAUUAUUUAAAAAAAAAGUUAAAAAAAUAAUUGGAUGGUUAGGAUCUCUAUAGAGGAUUUUAUUUAUUUAUGCCAGAUUUACAAGCAAUACAGGGUCAGGGAUUGAGUUGACUUGGAUUUGGAUUUGAAUACCUGCCAGGUUGGACCUACUUCCCAUUCAACUUUACUCCUAGGAUGCAGCCCUUUGGUGUUCCAUACACAAAACCCAAGUGUUUUUUUUUUU